AUUGAACGCUGGCGGCAUGCCUUACACAUGCAAGUCGAACGGUAACAGGUCUUCGGAUGCUGACGAGUGGCGAACGGGUGAGUAAUACAUCGGAACGUGCCUAGUAGUGGGGGAUAACUACUCGAAAGAGUGGCUAAUACCGCAUGAGAUCUACGGAUGAAAGCAGGGGAUCGCAAGACCUUGUGCUACUAGAGCGGCCGAUGGCAGAUUAGGUAGUUGGUGGGAUAAAAGCUUACCAAGCCGACGAUCUGUAGCUGGUCUGAGAGGACGAUCAGCCACACUGGGACUGAGACACGGCCCAGACUCCUACGGGAGGCAGCAGUGGGGAAUUUUGGACAAUGGGCGAAAGCCUGAUCCAGCAAUGCCGCGUGCAGGAUGAAAGGCCCUC
This 388-nucleotide ribosomal RNA is filed under the name uncultured bacterium. RNAcentral describes it as "bacterial SSU rRNA". It matches the Rfam family "Bacterial small subunit ribosomal RNA", at positions 30 to 419 of the family's 1533-position model. The record is from RNAcentral.